RNAcentral lists this ribosomal RNA (314 nucleotides) under uncultured bacterium. RNAcentral's name for it is "bacterial SSU rRNA". It matches the Rfam family "Bacterial small subunit ribosomal RNA", at positions 28 to 334 of the family's 1533-position model. The record is from RNAcentral.
GAUGAACGCUAGCUACAGGCCUAACACAUGCAAGUCGAGGGGCAUCGGGAGGGAAGCUUGCUUCCCUUGCCGGCGACCGGCGCACGGGUGAGUAACGCGUAUCGAACCUGCCCCAUACCCGGGGAUAGCCUUGCGAAAGUAAGAUUAAUACCCGAUGGUUUCCUUUUAUCUCCUGAUAGAGGGAAUAAAGAAUUUCGGUAUGGGAUGGCGAUGCGUCCGAUUAGCUAGUUGGCGGGGUAACGGCCCACCAAGGCGACGAUUGGUAGCCGGACUGAGAGGUUGAACGGCCACAUUGGGACUGAGACACGGCCCAG